This 408-nucleotide ribosomal RNA is filed under the name uncultured microorganism. Its description in RNAcentral is "bacterial SSU rRNA". It matches the Rfam family "Archaeal small subunit ribosomal RNA", at positions 330 to 745 of the family's 1478-position model. The record is from RNAcentral.
GUGCAGCAGGCGCGAAUACUUUACAAUGUGCGAAAGCACGAUAAGGGAACUCUGAGUGCCUCCUAAGGAGGCUGUUCUGAUGUCUAAAAGCAACAGAAGUAAGGGCUGGGUAAGACCGGUGCCAGCCGCCGCGGUAACACCGGCAGCCAAGUGGUAGCCACGUUUAUUGGGUCUAAAGCGUUCGUAGCCGGCCAGGUAAGUUCCUUGGUAAAUUUAGCCGCUUAACGGUUAAGCUUUCAGGGAAUACUGCUUGGCUUGGGACUGGGAGAGGUCAGAGGUACUCCGGGGGUAGGGGUGAAAUCUAUUAAUCCCUGGGGGACCACCGGUAGCGAAGGCGUCUGACCAGACCAGGUCCGACGGUGAGGGACGAAGGCUAGGGGCGCGAACCGGAUUAGAUAUCCGUGUAGU